GACAAAUCACAGGGAAUGACUUGAUCUUCAACCCACCACAUGUUUCCAAAUGAUUUAUGUAUUUUUCUACUUUCUGAGAUCAGCAGCGGCAAUAGAUUUAAACCUCUGAGAACCGAACUUGUCCAAUCUCUGGUCCCAUCAACACUAAGCCCUUUGAUGAUUUACUAUUACAAUCCAGUUUGGUUGAUAGUACUCACUCUAGACAGGUUUGAGAUGAUCAAUGGGUACCUUUGUGGAGGUCUUUGUCUGUUUUUGCCUACUGUCAGCCAUAAGAACCUCCACUGCUGUAGAUACCAUUAGUCCAGGUCAGUCUAUCACAGAUGGGGAUACCAUUGUUUCAAGUGGGCAAACCUAUGAACUUGGGUUCUUCAGCCCUGGUAGUUCAUCGGGACGAUACGUGGGAAUUUGGUUCAAGAAGAUUUCUACGGGAACUGUUGUUUGGGUAGCCAACAGAGAAACUCCAAUUCGUGAUCGCUCAGGAGUUCUAAAUUUCACAGACCAAGGGAUUCUUCUUCUUCUGAAUCGGACAAAUGGCGUCAUCUGGUCAUCUAAUAAAACAAGAACUGCAAGGAAUCCGAUUGCUCAGCUCUUAGACUCUGGAAAUUUUGUUGUGAAGGAUGAAAAUGAUGCUAACCCGGAAAAUUAUCUAUGGCACAGCUUUGAUUAUCCAGGUGACACCAACCUACCAGGCAUGAAACUUGGAAGAAAUUUGGUUACUGGUCUGGACUGGACUUUAUCAUCUUGGAAGAGCUUAGAUGACCCUGCUAGAGGUGAUUAUACUGCCGGUAUUGAUCCUCAUGGGUAUCCGCAGCUGCUUUAUAAGAAGGGGAAUAAAAUAACAUUCAGAGCUGGUUCUUGGAACGGUAUUCGCUUUACAGGGGCUGCUAGACUCAGACCAAAUCCCGUGUACACAUACGAAUUUGUGUUGAAUGAAAAAGAGGUCUACUACAAUAUUCACCUUCGAAACCGUUCAGUGAUGUCAAGGUUGGUGGUGAAUUCCACGGGGGUUACAGAGCGCUUGACAUGGAUAGAUCAAACACAUAGUUGGGCUCGUUAUUUUGCAGUUGGUGAAGAUCAGUGUGACACUUAUAAUCUCUGUGGUGCAAAUGCUAAAUGCAAUAUCAAUAACUCACCCCUGUGUGAUUGCUUGGAAGGGUUUGAACCCAAAUCUGAGAGAGACUGGAGUUUCCAAGAUUGGACUAGUGGGUGUGCUCGAAAGACUGCCUUGGCUUGCAAGAGAGGAGAAGGCUUCGUAAAGCAUCCAGGAAUGAAGAUGCCAGACACGUCUGGGUCGUGGUUCAAUAGGAAUAUGUGCCUCAAGGAAUGCGAGGAUUUGUGCUUGAAGAAUUGCUCUUGCGUUGCAUAUGCGAAUACGGAUAUUACUGCAGGAAGUGGAUGCUUGCUUUGGUUUGAGGAACUCAUUGAUAUCAGACAGUACACUGAAAAUGGGCAAGAUUUUUACAUUAGACUGUCUGCCUCUGAUUUGGAGUCCAGUCACAGCUCUGGGAAGCAAACACGAAUCUCGAUCAUAGCUGUCUGUAUAUUGGUUGUCGUAGCUUGUUUCCUUGGUCUAUUCCUGCUGUUGCAUAUCAGAAGGAAGAGGUUUCAGAGAAGAGGUAAAACGUAACAAGAAAAGAAAGUGAAUUGAUUUCUUUUUAGGCCAAAUAGGCAAAUAAAUGAACUUGCAGGAAUAUGUAAUGCAUAUUCCAAGGCAAAUUUCCUACGUGUUUGAUCUACGAAGUGCCUUUCCUAACUUGCAGAAAGCAUAGGAAGGAUGCAAGACAGAGACUAUACUGAUGAAAGCAGGGAAAAAGAUUUAGAGCUGCCACUGUUUGACUUCUCCACUGUAGCAAAUGCCACGGACAACUUUUCAGAAUUCAAUAAGCUUGGAGAAGGUGGUUUUGGACCUGUUUACA
This 1916-nucleotide unclassified non-coding RNA is filed under the name Hevea brasiliensis (rubber tree). The record is from RNAcentral. Lineage: Eukaryota; Viridiplantae; Streptophyta; Magnoliopsida; Malpighiales; Euphorbiaceae.